This 466-nucleotide ribosomal RNA is filed under the name uncultured bacterium. RNAcentral describes it as "partial 16S ribosomal RNA". It matches the Rfam family "Bacterial small subunit ribosomal RNA", at positions 28 to 507 of the family's 1533-position model. The record is from RNAcentral.
GACGAACGCUGGCGGCGUGCUUAACACAUGCAAGUCGAACGGAAAGGCCCUGCUUGCAGGGUACUCGAGUGGCGAACGGGUGAGUAACACGAGGGUGAUCUGCCCUGCACUUCGGGAUAAGCUUGGGAAACUGGGUCUAAUACCGGAUAGGAAUCAUCUUUAGUGUGGUGGUUGGAAAGUUUUUUCGGUGUAGGAUGAGCUCGCGGCCUAUCAGCUUGUUGGUGGGGUAAUGGCCUACCAAGGCGGCGACGGGUAGCCGGCCUGAGAGGGUGUACGGGCACAUUGGGACUGAGAUACGGCCCAGACUCCUACGGGAGGCAGCAGUGGGGAAUAUUGCACAAUGGGCGCAAGCCUGAUGCAGCGACGCCGCGUGGGGGAUGAAGGCCUUCGGGUUGUAAACUCCUUUCGCUAGGGACGAAGCUUUGUUGUGACGGUACCUAGAUAAGAAGCACCGGCUAACUACGUG